Molecule: long non-coding RNA, 3544 nt
Organism: Mercenaria mercenaria
Lineage: Eukaryota; Metazoa; Mollusca; Bivalvia; Venerida; Veneridae
Exons: 3
Source: RefSeq, a predicted model, not a curated record
AAAUCUUAACCUCCGACAUUUAGAUCAAUAAUGGCUGCUGCUGCAAGUUCACGUGAUAUUCCUGAAGAGAUUGGCGAGAAAUUUCUGCCGUAUUAUGUGACUUUAAGACAAAGAAGGAAUGCGAGAAAGUUUUGUAAGGAGUCAUACAUUAAUAGUGUCAGGAAGGAUUUUCCGACAUUCGAACACGGAAUUAGUUGUGAAAGCGUCAAUAUUCAGGAGUCAAAAAAAAGACUGAAGAAGGAUACACGACGACGAUCACUGUGGAAGCUGAAAAAAGUCAUCAGUGAUGCUUUUUGUAAAUGUAUAGCUGGUACAUCCGGUGAAUGUGCACAUGUCCUUGCAUUGGUCAUGAAAUUGGCUGAUUGGCUGACAGAGGGACUUCAAGAUGUACCCAUGCAACCGGCAUGUACAACACUUCCGCAGCAGUGGGAUAGACCACGUGGCCCAUAAAUCCUGCCAGAACCAGUAUCAACAAUGGUAAUUGCAAAGCCGGGAAAUGCAGCGAGGAAAAAGAGACCUCUGACAGCUGUAUUUAACGACAACAGGAAGAUUCAACUCCUUGAUAGGGAUGUCAGAUUUUUACAAUCACUGAAAGACUGUCCAUUGUCAUAUCUUGUACCUAUACCUGAACAGACAAUACAGACCACCUCUGAUAAGCAGUUUCUUGGAUCAACACUUGCACACCAGGUUUGUAAACUGCCUAGUCCUGUAUUAAAUAAGGCAUGAAGCCAGUAAGAAAGCAGCAACAAAACCAUAUCUGAUUAACACAAGGAAACAAUGAUAGACCUAUUCUGUUGUCAACAAUUGUAAAUUUUUUAACUCCUGAUAUUGCGCGUUCAACAUGAACUCUGUGUGUUGCAAUUUGUUUGGUAAGUUUCACAUCACCGGCUGACAUUUGUCCAGAACCAGGUGCAAAGGGCGGUAUGAAUAAUUUCAGACCAAGUGCCUCAAUUUCCUCACGAAUUAAAAAUCCCUUGUCAACCAUUACUCCAUCACCAGGUUUAAGCUUACCACAUUCUAACAGCUUUUUCAGAACUGACAGCAAGCCACUUUGUUUUGUUAUCUCCUUGUCGGAUAUAGAUCCAGAAAAUAGCAUAGAUAUAAAAUUGAAAGAGCCUCUUGGGUCAAUUCCUACCAGACCUUUUAGUGUUGUUGCAGAUUUGUAAUCUGAGUAGCACUGGCUUUGACUUCUAAGUGAACUGGGUCGUUCCACCUUUAAUUCUGUCCCAUCUAAGAUUAUGAAUGUUGUGGGAAAGUCAGACUUGAAUUUUGCCGGCAUGUGUUGAAUAAGAACUUCCCUAUCAGGCCAUAUAGGCACGGAACCAAAUUUGUAGAACAUAUAGUUCAUCCAUGCGCGGAAAAUUGCACCUGCAUCUUGUGGUGAAAUUUCAAACAGAUUUGCAAUAUGCUUGAACUCAAAGUUCAAACGUAGUUUUACAAGUGCAAGUACCAGCUGAUCAUGUAAUCUUAUUUUGCGCACACUAGUUACUGUCUUAGGAAAUGUAAGAGGGCUGUCUCCAGGGAAUGGCACCAAGAAUUUAAAAAUGUUCACGAACUGGUCAUAGGUAAACCCAGUGUAAUACUUGAAAUUUUCUCUUACUGGACUGUCACGUACAGAUUCCACAGUGAGGCCAUACUUCUUUGGUUCUUGUUUUUCUGAUUGACGUUUGACUGAUAGUUUGGCCUGAGAUACUUCUUGUUGCAGACUUUCGGUUUUCAAUACAUAUUCAGUCACUGAUUUCUCCUUCAUAACAAUUUCAUGUUUCAGGUCUGCCAUUUGUCUCUUCAGUUCCAUGUUUUCUGAAGCAAGUGCCAGCAUAUCCAGUGGUGAUACCUGUGAUUCUGAAAAAUUAAUAUGCAUUUUAUAUUUUAUUUUAUAUAUAUUCAUAAUGUUCAUAUUACAUUAACAAUAUUAACACCAAUUUAUACUUUUCAUUUUUCAGUUACCACUGAUGCAGCCAGUAGAUGUGCAGAGAUGUAAGACAGACUGUGGAGACCUGGUGUUGCCUAGAAACCCAGAUGUUGAUAUUCAAAACUGUGUGAAAAAUGAUGUUGGUAAAUGGACUACCUUGUCAGUUAACCAAGGUGAAGUAGAGGCAAUAGAACUGAACACUAGAGAUCAGAGUAAGUCAAAUGCUUGGCACAUGGAAAGGUCAUCUAGAAUAACUGCUUCAACAUUUGGUAGCUUCGUGGUGCGAAAAGCUGCACUUAUAGAGAAAUUUGUCAGAAAUACAGUGAUGCCAACAUCUUUUCAGUCUGCACCAACAACUUACGGUAUAAACAGUAAGAAGGUAGCUAUAAACAUGGAUAGAAAGAAGACAGGUAAUCACGUACACGAGUGUGGAUUUGUAGUAAAUCCCCUUUUCCCAUUUAUUGGUGCUACCCCAGAUGGGAAGGUAUGCGAAAAUGGGCAGGCAGGAAUUCUAGAGGUGAAAUGCCCCUUUUCCAUAAGGGACUGGAGCAUAAAAGAUGCUUAAAAAACUAUGAGAAAAAGGAGAACUUGUUUCUUGAAGAAAGUGGUGACAGUAUAAUUUUGAGCCGGACACAUAAACAUUGGUAUCAAGUCCAAGGGCAGCUGUUGGUAACUGGUGCAAAUUUUUGUGACUUUGUUACUUUUACAAAGAAUGACUUGAAUGUAGAAAGAAUAUAUCCUGAUAAAGCAGCCAUGAGGUCAAUUCUAUUGAAAAUGCAUUCUGUUUUUGUAGAAUAUGUAACCAAGUUUUGAACUUACGGGCUGUGCAGUCAUUUUGUGAGUGUUCAGAUUUCAGCUGGUAGUUUUCAUCAAUGCUGCAAAUAUAAAUGAAUACUUAGCUACUGUGAUAUGAUUUGAAAGCAUACAUUAAACUACAAAAAACAUACACAUUUUUAUAUUAACAAAUGGUAUGAAAUGUUGUGCUUAGGUUAGAUACUAUACAGCUGUCAGAAUUUUCGAAAGCAGAAAUGUUCAUAUUUAUCAUACUAGUACACUGUCGUGUAAUUUUGUUGAACUCUUACCCUGUUAUAUUUUUAAAAUGAACUUGAGUAUCUUCCAAUUUAGACAGAAACAUUAACUGUGAAAAAGGGUGCUUACCAAAAAGAUACUGACUGAAUAGCGAACAGUGCAGAUCAUGAUCAGACUGCACAGAUGUGCAGGAUGAUCAUGAUCUGCACUGGUCUCAAAGGCAAUUCCAAUCAUUUCCAGCAUGGUAAGGGUUAAGACUGACUAGUUCUAUAAAUUACUUACUCUGUUGAUAAUUCAGAUAAGAUUUUACGACGCUUCUUGGGCGGCUCAGACAUAUGUCUAGGUUUUGGUGGAGCCCUGCAAGGAGUGAACUUGGCACUUGUUAGCGCACCUUUGUCUGCCAUGUAUGGAUCGGGAUAUUGUUCCGAUGGUCCACCUUCUGGAAAGUGCUGUAAAAUUCAACAGAUACAUAAUUUAUAUAUUUCUUUCUUUUUCUAGUUUUCACACAACAAACAAAAAUUUUCUUGUUUGACAAUAUCUUGUAAAUGGAAUAUUAUGUUCAUGUACACUGACAAUUUGCAUUGAAAUCAAGUAAUAAUUUCA